RNAcentral lists this ribosomal RNA (499 nucleotides) under Desmoxytes cervaria. RNAcentral describes it as "partial 16S ribosomal RNA". It matches the Rfam family "Archaeal large subunit ribosomal RNA", at positions 1895 to 2647 of the family's 2987-position model. The record is from RNAcentral. Lineage: Eukaryota; Metazoa; Arthropoda; Diplopoda; Polydesmida; Paradoxosomatidae.
UUUUUCAAAGACAUUGCUUAUUGUUAAUAAUAAUAAGUAAUUUCUGCCCACUGCAGGUUGUGAAGGGCUGCAGUAUUGUGACUGUAUCAAGGUAGCAUAAUCAUUAGGCUUUUAAUUGGGGGCUGGUAUGAAGGGUAAACGAAGGGAUGGUAUAUUUUUAAGAAUUGAUGAAAUUAAUAACUAUGUGAAAAAGCAUAGGAGCAUCAUUGGACAAGAAGACCCUAAAAGUUUUAUUUUUAUUAUCAAAAGAUUACAGAGGAUUUUAGACAAAGAUUGGUAUAUUUUUUUAGCAAAAGUUUGGCUGGGGCGGCAUAUUUGGAAACAAAAAUUUAGUUUAAUUUUAGAAAGCGUUGGAAUGACCUGUGAAGGUCAAUUGAAAGAUAAGCUACUUUAGGGAUAACAGCGUAAUCAUUUUUUAGAGUUCCUAUUGACAAAAUGGUUUGCGACCUCGAUGUUGGAUUAGGAAAAGAGUUGGUGCAGAAGUGACAAGAUUGUCGUC